GUAUGUUGUCUACGGGCACACUUUCUCCUAAGUGAUUUAUACAAAUACAACGUAUUACGCUGUGAGCGGUAGGCUAUUUAAUUGUGUGCUGUUUCUUCUUUCUUAUAUCGAUUAGAAGCGUAUCGUACCGGACUAAGUUCAUACCAUUGUUCUAGAUCUAGGUGUUAAAAAUAAGUGUCUACUUUCGUUAUAAUAAAAAUUGGAACAAUACAUUUCACGGGCUCUCUAGUUUGAAAAGUGUUUUUUUAAGUGGAUUUAUCGGAACAAAAGCCAGUAAAUUCAAUCACAACUUGAGGCUCAAUGCUGCUCGUUUAUUAUACAAUGGAUUUCACGUAAGGGCUGAACUGCGUUAACACGCUUUCUGCGCAUGUGUAAACCUGCGCCAAAAGGGACACACAGCAGGCGGGAGAGUUUAAAAACUGGGAUUUUAUAAGAUGACGAAAAGCAAGAAAUUAAACCAGAAGUUAAAGGAAAGCCAAGCGGAGUCAGAGACGAAAGCUACAGGCAAAUCUCGAACCAUUAGUGAUAAGAACCAAGGAAAAAUAAUAAAAUCACCAAGCAAGAGUAAAAGCGAGACCAAACAGAACAGUCAUGGGUCAAAACCAG
Physella acuta is the source of this 606-nucleotide long non-coding RNA. RefSeq lists it as uncharacterized. The record is from RefSeq and is a predicted model, not a curated record. Lineage: Eukaryota; Metazoa; Mollusca; Gastropoda; Physidae.